GAAGAAGAGCAGAACGUCACCAGUAGGCAGCAGUUCUGUGAUGCACUGCGGUCAAUCCCUGACGUGCAGCAGAGGAGGAGGUGUAUGCUGACCCGGGAGGAUCCCAACAGCAGGCAAGAAGGGAAGAGGAGGAUGCGCAGCAAGCAGCAGAGCCCAGCCCAGCCCAGGAUCCAGCGCAGCCCACACCAGCCAGCCCAUCCCACCAGAGGAUCCAAUGCCGUUACCAGGCAGCCUAACAGAGAAGCAUUUUGAAUUUAUUUCUUUCCUUCUGUCUCUUCUCUGUCUUCUGUGCACUUCCCUAAUCUAACAGCACUAACCAUCCCCUACCCCUUAACAUCGAUUUUGUUGUAAUUUCCUUGAAUUUGUGUGCUUUGUUUCAUUGUUUUGAAUUUUUACUAAUCUCGUCUCAGUUGUAUAUUUUCAGGCACUCGGACGUGGUACAACGCGGGAGCACCCAGCCAGCCUCCAGCCACCCAGCCAGCCACAGAUGAAGAGGAAGGAGCCCAUUGCCCAGCUUUGUCUAGCGGCUUACAUUUGCCAAGGCGGAGCGUCGAUCCCACCGAGACAUUCAGCAGCAUUCUGGGUAGCAAGGAUCGACUGCGACCGCACAGCAGUCAAGAAGAGGAUGUGCAGCUAGCAGUAGAGCCCAUCUGAGCCCAGCCCAGCAGAGGAUCCAGGAGAUCCAGCACAUCACUUCAAAGGGCCAUAACUCUGCUGUUCAGAUGACAAAUCCAAUGAGACUUCAGAGGGGUGUGUGG
Saccostrea cuccullata (small rock oyster) is the source of this 758-nucleotide long non-coding RNA. RefSeq lists it as uncharacterized. The transcript is spliced from 6 exons. The record is from RefSeq and is a predicted model, not a curated record. Lineage: Eukaryota; Metazoa; Mollusca; Bivalvia; Ostreida; Ostreidae.